GUCUCAGCUUCGCUCUGGGCCAAGUCUGGCAGAUGACUGGGUGCCUGCUCCACUCCCACUUGGCACGGCAGCUCCCCACUGGCCCU
This 86-nucleotide microRNA precursor is filed under the name Sorex araneus (European shrew). RNAcentral describes it as "miRNA (ENSSARG00000016979.1)". Lineage: Eukaryota; Metazoa; Chordata; Mammalia; Eulipotyphla; Soricidae. The record is from RNAcentral.